GGCUUAGAGUUUGAUCAUGGCUCAGGACGAACGCUGGCGGCGCGCCUAACACAUGCAAGUCGAACGGGGUUGAGAGGAGCUUGCUUUUCUUGACUUAGUGGCGAACGGGUGAGUAACGCGUGAGGAACCUGCCUCAAAGAGGGGGACAACAGUUGGAAACGACUGCUAAUACCGCAUAAGCCCACGGGGCCGCAUGGCUCUGAGGGAAAAGGAGCAAUCCGCUUUGAGAUGGCCUCGCGUCCGAUUAGCUGGUUGGUGAGGUAACGGCCCACCAAGGCGACGAUCGGUAGCCGGACUGAGAGGUUGAACGGCCACAUUGGGACUGAGACACGGCCCAGACUCCUACGGGAGGCAGCAGUGGGGAAUAUUGCACAAUGGGGGAAACCCUGAUGCAGCGACGCCGCGUGGAGGAAGAAGGUCUUCGGAUUGUAAACUCCUGUUGUUGGGGAAAAGAAGGAUGGUACCCAACAAGGAAGUGACGGCUAACUACGUGCCAGCAGCCGCGGUAAAACGUAGGUCACGAGCGUUGUCCGGAAUUACUGGGUGUAAAGGGAGCGCAGGCGGGUAUGCAAGUUGGGAGUGAAAUACAUGGGCUCAACCCAUGAACUGCCCUCAAAACUGUGUAUCUUGAGUAGUGCAGAGGUAGGCG
Molecule: ribosomal RNA, 649 nt
Filed under: uncultured bacterium
Lineage: Bacteria
Description: bacterial SSU rRNA
Rfam family: Bacterial small subunit ribosomal RNA
Source: RNAcentral